ACUUGCCUACGGGGCGCAGCAGUGGGGGAUAUUGCACAAUGGGGGAAACCCUGAUGCAGCGACGCCGCGUGAGCGAUGAAGGCCUUCGGGUCGUAAAGCUCUGUCCUCAAGGAAGAUAAUGACGGUACUUGAGGAGGAAGCCCCGGCUAACUACGUGCCAGCAGCCGCGGUAAUACGUAGGGGGCUAGCGUUAUCCGGAAUUACUGGGCGUAAAGGGUGCGUAGGUGGUUUCUUAAGUCAGAGGUGAAAGGCUACGGCUCAACCGUAGUAAGCCUUUGAAACUGGGGAACUUGAGUGCAGGAGAG
RNAcentral lists this ribosomal RNA (305 nucleotides) under uncultured bacterium. RNAcentral's name for it is "bacterial SSU rRNA". It matches the Rfam family "Bacterial small subunit ribosomal RNA", at positions 333 to 656 of the family's 1533-position model. The record is from RNAcentral.